UUUUUUUUUUUCUUUUUAGGGCCACACCCACUGCAUAUGGAAAUUCCCAGCCUUGGGCUCGAAUCAGAGCUGUAACCACCAGCCUACACCACAGCCACAGCAACACCAGAUCCUUAACCCACGGAGCAAGGCCAGGGAUCGAACCUGUGUACUCAUGGAUGCUAGUCAGAUUCUUUUAUGCUGAGCCAUGGUGGGAACUCCCGUUUAAGGAUCUUACCAGCUAUAAUGGAAAAAAUAAAAAUCAGUAUUAAAAAAAAAAAGAAGAAGGACUUUCCCAGUUUCGUAAAGCAGUUGAGACAGGCGUGAAAUAGAGUGAGCUCUGCCUUCUCACUUCGUGGACAGUUUUGACUAGUGAACAGCCUGGGAUACCCAGGGAAGCCAGCGCAGAAAUGCCCACUUGGACUGCUGGACGGAGCAACACGGAGGAGCUCAAAUGCCAUCGUUGGCAGGAGGAAGAAUGGGGAAGUGCCUUGUGUCCUCAAUAGAAAGCAGAACUCGUGCCCUGGGCUCUUGUGAGUUCUCCUCGCGUGCCCGUGCCCUCCGUUCUCCUGUGGGGACUCGCGUGAGACGGUGAGUGCUCUGGCGACACUGAGGUUGAGAGUCUAGUCUGCUUUCAGAGAGAGGCUCAGAGGAGUUACAGGACUGUCUGUCCGUGUCACCUCAUUACUUGUGACCAUGUCCUUUUGCUGUAAAACGGCAGCGCAUCCUCGGCCCCCAUGACCUGGUGGGCUGCUCUGUGUCCCGCUGUCAGGUCCCCCUCCCCCCAUGGCUGACCACGUGGACACUGCACCUUCUGCCCAGGUCACUAGCAGCUUUUUUUUUUGGCUUUAAAAUGAUUCCACUUAUCAAGAGUCGUUUUCCCCUUGAAAGCAUUGAAGGCAGCAUCCAGAAGAGAAUUAGAGAGGCCUGCUCUUCCUGUUGUGAUGACAUGUUAGAAUUUAAAAGUGCGUUGUCAGAGGUAACUUUCUCAGGCUUAGCCAAAGCACACGAUGCCUUUUGAACAGAAAACCACUUUCUAGAUGAUUGGAGGGCCUUCUCCUGUAGCCGGUGUUUGAAAGGUACAUCGAUUGAUGGACCUUGUGGCUGCCAGAAGCGCAUGGAUUGUAAUCCAUGCCCCGAGCCAUCAGAGUUAGCAGGUCUUUUCCCAGGGAACACAUUACACUCUGUUUUCCCCCGCCUUUUUGUAUUUCUAUUUAUUUUUCGCCAGAAAUACACCGUUGAAAAAAUUUUAGACGACGUUAGAAGCUUUACUGCACCCCAUUCUCAUCCUAACCGCCCCCCCGCCCCCCGAUAGAGAGGUUAGUUGCUGUGUAUCCUCCCAGGGUUUGGGGCGGUUUGUUUACUGCACAGGCAUGGAAAUACGAAUGAAUGUGUAUUGUGUCCCCUUGGCCCCCGUGACCUGCUGGGCCCUCCGAGCCCGGCUCUCCGCGAAGGUGACACUGGUCUUCUUCCUGUUCCUCGCGGAAGGAUGUGGCCUAGAGCUCCAUCUCUGUCAGAACGCGGGGCGCUCCUCCCUCUGUCUACACAGCAGAUCUUUGACGGGACCGUGCCUGCAUCGUACGUAGUUUAUGUGACCAGCUCUCUCUGGAUGGCCGUUCGGAUGGUUUCUUUUUUCUUUCUUUUUUUUUUUUUUUUUUUGUAGGGCCGCACCUAGGGCAUAUGGAGGUUCCCAGGUGAAGGGUUGAAUCAGCUGUAUUUUUGCCCGCCGACGCCACAGCCACAGCCACAGCAGCGUGGGAUCCGAGCCACGUCUGCGACCUACACCCCAGCUCACGGCAACACCAGAUCCUUAACCCACUGAGUGAGGCCAGGGAUGGAACCUGCAUCCUCAUGGAUGCUAGUCAGAUUCGUUUUUUCUGCUGAGCCACGACGGGAGCUCCUUGGAUGGUUUCUGAUGCUUUUUUGUUUCCAGGCACUGCUGGGAUAUUGUACACACACGUGCAGCGUGUCUGUCUGUAGGAUACAAUCUCAGAAAGGUGAUUGCUGGGUCAGAGAUAAAUGCAUUUGCAAUUUUGACAGCUGUAAUCUGAUAGACCAUCAGGUGUUUAUUACCGUUUUAAAAAAAUUUGGUUUCUCACCGGGAAUGUCAGAGAGAAACUCUUUCUUUCCCUUUGGCAAAUGCGGCCAUGGAUUAUGGCCCAAACCAGGACACUCUUAAGUCUGGAAGUGGCUCUAUUAAUAGUGACACUGGGACAGCAGGCAGGGGCCAGGGCUUUGCUGGCACUGCAGACAUAUCUUGACGUACUCGUAGUCGUGCCAGCAGAACGGGCUGUCAAACUUUCUCAAGGGACCUCGAGUGGAAUUCAAGUUCAAAAAUAAUCGCCUAACAAGGCAACCUUUAAAAGGAAAGCUACAGUGACGGUGGCAGGACGCUGUGAAUGUACUUAAUGCCAGUGACCCCUACACUUGAACGUGGUGCCAGGGGUAAAUUGUAUGUUACGUGUAUUUCGCAACAGUUAAAAACCAAAACUCACAAAAAGGAGCAGACCGACCCAUGACUCUAUAUGGCUCAAUCUCAGAUGAUGCCCGGUGAAUGUCUUGAAAGGCUGCAUAUUGUGCGAUUCUCUUCCUGAAGAUAGUCUGGAAAGGGGGAAACUCUAGAAAUGGAAAAGAGAUGCGUGGUUUCAGGAGCUGGGCUGUGGGGAGGGUGGAGUGUCAGGCCGCAGGGGCGUCUCGGGGGUGAUGGACCUGUUCUGUGUAUUGAUGGGGGCAGCAGUUUCAUAUACACUGUCAGUGGCAGACCCGACGGAACGGCACACUCAAAGGGGUGCCUGCGACUUGUGCAAGAUGUCCCUUAAUAAAACAAAUGGAAAGGGAAUGGAAUAAAAAAGUAAGGCCACUCAGGAUUCCGUCCCUGGAGCUUUGGGAAAGUUGCCCUGCCUGAUUUCUUUUGUGGGCAAGUGCAGUGGGACCUGAGGGACGCUUGCCAGUGGGCCUCCUGCCCGGUGACCAUUUGUGUCGCUUGCUGUUGUCGUGGGCCCUGCUGCCUCAAGCUCUCUGGCUCUGUGAGCAUCUGUCAAGCCAGCUCCGGCCUCGGGGAUCCUGCAGAUGCCAACGUGGGGUCCAGGGCUUGCCUGGUCCCUGAGUGUGUCAUGGCAAGGCUCAGGUGGGUGCACAUAGAUCCAGUCUGGGGUCUGCUGGAAGGAGGGAGGCAGGCAGAGAGCUGGAUCCCAGCCUGCCCCGAGGAUUCUGUCCCAUCCCUUCUGGGAGCUGGGAAAGCAUGCUUCUGCACGGGAUCUGUCUUGGCGGUGACAGAGGGAGCCCAUUUGGAGGGCCAAGAUGAGUGUCUCCUGCAUCUGGACAAAGAGGUUAGACCCUCUAGAUGGAUGAGAACACAGGGUCCUGCAGGUAAGUAGAGUCCGGGGCCACGAGGGCAGUGAAGACUGCUGGAAAAGGCAGAUGCUGGGGCCCAGGCAGGGGCACAGGUGCCUGACAGCCACCCGCAGUCAGGAGUCAGCAUCAGAACACUCAGCAGCGCUCAUCAUCAGAGGAAUGCAAAUCAAAUCACAGGAUAGCACUUCACACCCAUUAGAGCAGUUAUUCUAAAAAACACACAAAAUACACAUGGCAGUAGAGUGUGGAGAAGUUGGAACUCUUGUGCGCUGUUGGUGAAAGGGUUGAGCCGCUGUGGAAAACAGGAUGGCCGUUCCUCAAAACAUUAGACCAGACACUACUGUGUGAUCUGACAGUUCUUCUGGGCGUGUCCCCCAAAAGAUCCGAAAGCAAGCACGCCAACAGACGUUUGCACACGCAUGUUCCUAGCAGCACUAUUCACAGAAGCCGGAAGAGGGCGGCGACCCCAGUGUCUGUUGACGGAUGAAUGGAUAAACAAAAUGCGGUCCAUCCAUGCAGUGGAAUGUUGUUCAGCCUUGAAAAGGAAGGACAUCCUGACACAGGCAACACCGUGGAUGAACCUUGAGGACCUUCUGCUAAGUGGAAUCCGUCCUGAAAGGCUGUAUGAUUCCCCUCAUAGGAGGUACCUGAGCAGUCGAGCUCUUGGAGACGGAAAGUAGCGAGCUGGUCGCCAGGGCCUGGGUGGGGGUGGGGCGAGAGGGGCGUUAGUGUUUACUGGCUGCGGAGCUUCCGUUUGGGCAGGUGGACAAGUCCUGGAGGUGGAUGCGGGUGCUGGUUGUAGAACAACACAAGUGGACUUAAUGUCACAGACCUGUGCCCUGAAAAAUGGUUGAAAUGCGAAGUUUUAUGUUACAUAUAUUUUACCAUAAAAAAUUCAUCUUAAGAAAACCAGAUCUGAGAGGCGUGAGCUGAAGCCAAGUGGGCUCAUCUGCAAAGCCGGGUGGGUGAAGAGGGGACCUGGUGCGGUGGGGAGAGGGGGUUCCACGUCGGCGUGGAUUGUCUUGCUUUGCUCCUUCAUGGUCGUUGUCAUCGCACGCAGAUGUGCCAUCACCCCUUGGUCUCCUGCGUGCCCUCCCAGAAGUCAGAGUGUUGCCCAUGUGCCGAGACCUGAGCCUGAGCAGGGACCCAGAGGCCAGGGACAUCUGUCCUUGUCCCUUCCCCCAGAGAGCCUUGGUUGUCACCUGGUCCCCCUGAAACCCUCCCCAUCCUCCCAGGAAGGGUCCCAUGAAUGACGACAAGUUCUGGGGGCCCUCCUGCUCCCACUUGGGCCCUGGUCCCUACUAGCUGCAGCCAUGGGUCCCGCUGCCCGGGCCUUGAGUCUGCGCUGAGGCUCCAGCAGCAGCUGGGAAGCCCCGUGUCAGGCCGCAGACGCUGCCCUUGACUUUCUCAGCAUUGGGACCUGGGGAAGGGGGCAGCACCAUGGGUUGGGCAUCUCUCGGCUGCAUGGAUUACCGAGUGGGGCUUCCUGGAGCUCCUGCAGCUGUGUUGAGCAAGGCCCUCUUUCGGGGUUUCACGCACCCUGUCGCAUAGUAAUCUCUGUACCUGGAACUUGGGCAGAGGCCGUAGGCUGCCCAGAGGACAUCCUGAGCUGGGGCCUUCCUGAGGCCCGGUCCUCCCUCCUUUCUCACUUCUGGGAGUGUGAGGGCCCCCUCUCUGUGUCCUUCGGGAUGUGUUUUCUUAGGAGGUCCUGAGAUCUCUCCCGCAGAGACCCCUGGCAGAUCCGCCUCUCCAGCCCGCUGCACCUGCCCAGCUUCUCUCGUAAUCCCCUGACUGUGCCCCAGGCUCAGUCCCCCACGACACCCUUACUCCCAGACAGGGUCAUCAUCCUUAGCCCUGCUGUCCAAGACAGCAGCCCAAGGCCUCAUGUGCUGUGGAGAAGGUGGCCUGUCAUUUGCUGAAAGUGUAAAAUGCGUGCCAGGUUUGGAAGGUUUGCUGUGAAAAGGGGUGUGUAGAAAUACCCCAUCAGUUAUUUUAUAUCUGUAUGUUGAAACAACGACAGGUUAUUUUGGGUAAAAUAAAAUACAUGAUGAACAUUCAUUUCGCUUGUUGGAUUUGCCUUUGAAAACGUGGCUACCUGCAAAUCUGAGGCUACCUGUGCAGCUCCCCUGUCACUCUCUUGGGCAGCACUUUUUAGAGCAGCAGCCCCUCCCGGAAGCUGGGUAGAGAUGCAGGUUCUUGGCUCCACCGCUGGCUGGCCCAGGGAAGCCAAGCCUCUGGGGCGGGCUCGGCAUCUGUGUUUAACAAGCCUCUGAUUCUGGUUAUGGGCAAGUUUGAGAUCCGGGGCCGCUGAGGCACUCUUUCAGUUCCCAGGUCACUGUGACUUUAUGGAGAGCAUGCACAGCGAAAGGAGAUGGCUGAGAAGGGGAGAGCCAGCUGGUGUCAGUGAGCGAAACUGGCGCGUUUGUGCAGCCCUGCCUGUGGCGCUGAGACGGAGGUCUCUGAAUCACAGUACCUGCUGGACGGGCUGCCGAGCCCCCGACGGCACCUGCACACGGCGGCUGAGGUCUGGAGCCAGGCUCUCGGUUCUCUUUGUCUCUCUCCGUGCGCCUGCCCCCGGACUCUUUGUUUCUUUUCCCAUUUCCAGCCGUUGCUCAGUGGACUAGACGACAGCGUUGGCUCGUCUCUUUCAUUGUUCAUGGGGCAAAGCUUGCCCUCACCGGGGGCUGUUUCUGCUGCACGGACGCUUGAGUUGAUCACGAUGCCAGGACUCGUGUGCGCUUAGCGGGGUCCUGAAUGGCGUCUUCAUUCUGCGGAGACACAGGGAGGGGAGAUGCUCAGAAGACUAAGUCGGUCCCUUCCCCGGACGUACUGAACCGGCCGUGGUUUUCUGAAAUCUCCUAGAGUGGAGACGCUCUUGGGGAAAAAGUCACACUCCAAACAUGUCCCUCCCUUAACUCCUUUCGGGGGAGAUUUUGGUUUCUUUCUCGUAUGAACAAACGGGGUCUUGAUGAGAGUUCUGCAUCUGGUGUUGCCGAGGUCAUGUGCAUUUGAGCAAAGCAUUUGUCUUCUUCGUGCCUCUAACUGCUGGUCCCCAAAACAGAUGUAACGUUUUCCAAUGUCACUUAAAGUUUUGCAGCGCGUGUUCAGGCAUCGUGGUGGAUGGGAAUGCGUUACCGACAUGGUUAAUAAUCCCAUCCAGGCUUUGGCACCUCAUGAAGCCAUGUUUGGGUCUGUUCUGCACCUUGGUGACCUCACUUGUAAAACGGGGAUCAUGCAGAUCCGCAGUACUUUCUGUAAAGCCCUUGGGGCCAAAUGCGUGCAGGCAUUUGCGUCGUUUCGCUUUUCCGGGCUGCGCCUAUGGAACAGGAGAUUUCUAGCAGAGUCUUUGGUAGCGUCGUGGGAUCCCAUCCGUUCGUGUUUCUGAAAUAAAACAUGAACAUUCUCACAAAGUGGGAUUUGAAAAAAGACCGUAUAUAGCUUCCUAUCAGUUGAGGUAAUGUUUUGCUGUCAAACGAAUUUUAAGAACAACCUUUAGUUUUGAGACUUUUUGGUAUUCUGGGUGGUGGAUAAGGAGUUGUGGACUUUGGGAGGGAGUCUGUUGUCUGCAAUAACGGAAUAAACUCAGAUUAGCAAGUGUGCAGCUUUGAUUUAUUUUGGAAUGGCUGAGGCAUGCCCCGGGGCUGGGAGAAGAUGCCAAAGAGCUGAUGCCUGAGUCAGCCUCUCAUAGUUGGUCCUGAGGCCAACAGCCUGAGUCCUGAGUGCUGGGAGGGGACUUUCCCAGAUGGUGGUGCCUAGUGUUUGGUUUUGAUUUUUAGACAGAAAAAAAAAAAAAA
Molecule: long non-coding RNA, 7127 nt
Filed under: Sus scrofa (pig)
Lineage: Eukaryota; Metazoa; Chordata; Mammalia; Artiodactyla; Suidae
Description: lncRNA (ENSSSCG00005009530.1)
Source: RNAcentral